Molecule: ribosomal RNA, 1479 nt
Filed under: uncultured bacterium
Lineage: Bacteria
Description: 16S ribosomal RNA
Rfam family: Bacterial small subunit ribosomal RNA
Source: RNAcentral
UGGCUCAGGAUGAACGCUAGCGGCAGGCUUAACACAUGCAAGUCGAGGGGCAGCGGGGAGGAAGCUUGCUUUCUCCGCCGGCGACCGGCGCACGGGUGAGUAACACGUAUGCAACCUGCCCCUGUCAGGGGGACAACCCGCCGAAAGGCGGGCUAAACCCGCGUACAUGCCACCGGGGCAUCCCGGAGGCAGGAAAGGCUUCGGCCGGACAGGGAUGGGCAUGCGGCGCAUUAGGCAGUAGGCGGGGUAACGGCCCACCUAACCGACGAUGCGUAGGGGUUCUGAGAGGAAGGUCCCCCACACUGGUACUGAGACACGGACCAGACUCCUACGGGAGGCAGCAGUGAGGAAUAUUGGUCAAUGGUCGGGAGACUGAACCAGCCAAGCCGCGUGAGGGAUGAAGGUACAGAGUAUCGUAAACCUCUUUUGUCAGGGAACAAAGGCGGGGACGUGUCCCCGGAUGAGUGUACCUGAAGAAAAAGCAUCGGCUAACCCCGUGCCAGCAGCCGCGGUAAUACGGAGGAUGCGAGCGUUAUCCGGAUUUAUUGGGUUUAAAGGGUGCGCAGGCGGUCUGUUAAGUCAGCGGUCAAAGCCCGGGGUUCAACCCCGGCCCGCCGUUGAAACUGGCAGUCUCGAGUUGGAGAGAAGUAUGCGGAAUGCGCGGUGUAGCGGUGAAAUGCAUAGAUAUCGCGCAGAACUCCGAUUGCGAAGGCAGCAUGCCGGCUCCACACUGACGCUGAGGCACGAAAGCGUGGGUAUCGAACAGGAUUAGAUACCCUGGUAGUCCACGCAGUAUACGAUGAAUGCUGGCUGUCCGGGGGGGAUUGACCCCUGGGUGGCGAAGCGAAAGCGAUAAGCAUUCCACCUGGGGAGUACGCCGGCAACGGUGAAACUCAAAGGAAUUGACGGGGGCCCGCACAAGCGGAGGAACAUGUGGUUUAAUUCGAUGAUACGCGAGGAACCUUACCCGGGCUCAAACGGGGAGUGACUCAGGCAGAGACGCCUGUUUCCCACGGGACACUCCCCGAGGUGCUGCAUGGUUGUCGUCAGCUCGUGCCGUGAGGUGUCGGCUUAAGUGCCAUAACGAGCGCAACCCCCGCGUGCAGUUGCUAACAGAUAACGCUGAGGACUCUGCACGGACUGCCGGCGCAAGCCGCGAGGAAGGCGGGGAUGACGUCAAAUCAGCACGGCCCUUACGUCCGGGGCGACACACGUGUUACAAUGGGUGGUACAGCGGGAAGCCAGGCGGCGACGCCGAGCGGAACCCGAAAUCCACUCUCAGUUCGGAUCGGAGUCUGCAACCCGACUCCGUGAAGCUGGAUUCGCUAGUAAUCGCGCAUCAGCCAUGGCGCGGUGAAUACGUUCCCGGGCCUUGUACACACCGCCCGUCAAGCCAUGGGAGCCGAGGGCGCUUGAAGUGCGUCGCCGCGAGGCGCGCCCUAGAGCGAAAUCGGUGACUGGGGCUAAGUCGUAACAAGG